UAUACUCUACGAUGUACGACAGAUUUUCAUUUAAUUCAACCGACAAAAAAGAUCCGGGAAACUUUCUAUUACAGAAUAUAACAAGCCAUCUUGGUGUGGAAGUUAGAAAAUGGGAUGAGGUUACCCACCUACUUAUGGGGGCGGGUCUGAAUUAAUGGAACAACGGCAUUGUGGAGUUUUU
Molecule: non-coding RNA, 181 nt
Filed under: Peptoniphilus sp. oral taxon 386 str. F0131
Lineage: Bacteria; Bacillati; Bacillota; Tissierellia; Tissierellales; Peptoniphilaceae
Description: 6S / SsrS RNA
Rfam family: 6S / SsrS RNA
About the family: E. coli 6S RNA was the first non coding RNA to be sequenced, but its function was unknown until recently. It consists of 184 nucleotides that fold into an extended hairpin structure with a large single-stranded internal bulge.
Source: Rfam by way of RNAcentral